GGCUUUGUGCAGUGGCAGUAUUGUGGCCAAUGAAAUUUAUCCAAGGCACUAUUAUUUCUAAUUGAAAACUUUUCCUAAUACCCCGCCAUGACAAACUUGAAAUAUAGUUGGCAUUGGCAAUCUUUAACAAUCUCUAUGGAGA
This 142-nucleotide small nuclear RNA is filed under the name Microcebus murinus (gray mouse lemur). Its description in RNAcentral is "U4 spliceosomal RNA (ENSMICG00000044071.1)". It matches the Rfam family "U4 spliceosomal RNA". From Rfam's summary of the family: U4 small nuclear RNA (U4 snRNA) is a component of the major U2-dependent spliceosome. The structure of U4 snRNA from yeast and human has been reported. The record is from Rfam by way of RNAcentral. Lineage: Eukaryota; Metazoa; Chordata; Mammalia; Primates; Cheirogaleidae.